This 813-nucleotide ribosomal RNA is filed under the name Mucilaginibacter rigui. RNAcentral's name for it is "bacterial SSU rRNA". It matches the Rfam family "Bacterial small subunit ribosomal RNA", at positions 346 to 1163 of the family's 1533-position model. The record is from RNAcentral. Lineage: Bacteria; Pseudomonadati; Bacteroidota; Sphingobacteriia; Sphingobacteriales; Sphingobacteriaceae.
AGGCAGCAGUAAGGAAUAUUGGUCAAUGGGCGCAAGCCUGAACCAGCCAUGCCGCGUACAGGAAGACGGCCCUACGGGUUGUAAACUGCUUUUGUACCGGAAUAAACCUUUUCACGUGUGAGAAGCUGAAUGUACGGUAAGAAUAAGGAUCGGCUAACUCCGUGCCAGCAGCCGCGGUAAUACGGAGGAUCCAAGCGUUAUCCGGAUUUAUUGGGUUUAAAGGGUGCGUAGGCGGUUCUUUAAGUCAGGGGUGAAAGACGGUAGCUUAACUAUCGCAGUGCCUUUGAUACUGAAGAACUUGAAUACACUUGAGGUAGGCGGAAUGUGACAAGUAGCGGUGAAAUGCAUAGAUAUGUCACAGAACACCAAUUGCGAAGGCAGCUUACUAAAGUGUCAUUGACGCUGAGGCACGAAAGCGUGGGAUCAAACAGGAUUAGAUACCCUGGUAGUCCACGCCCUAAACGAUGAAUACUCGAUGUUGGCGAUAUACGGUCAGCGUCUAAGCGAAAGCGUUAAGUAUUCCACCUGGGGAGUACGCCCGCAAGGGUGAAACUCAAAGGAAUUGACGGGGGCCCGCACAAGCGGAGGAGCAUGUGGUUUAAUUCGAUGAUACGCGAGGAACCUUACCCGGGCUUGAAAGUUAGUGAAUGAGACAGAGACGUCUCAGUCCUUCGGGACACGAAACUAGGUGCUGCAUGGCUGUCGUCAGCUCGUGCCGUGAGGUGUUGGGUUAAGUCCCGCAACGAGCGCAACCCCUGUGAAUAGUUGCCAGCACGUAAUGGUGGGGACUCUAUUCAGACUGCCUAUGCAAAU